Long non-coding RNA from Mytilus californianus (California mussel), 1641 nucleotides. RefSeq lists it as uncharacterized. The record is from RefSeq and is a predicted model, not a curated record. NCBI's taxonomy places the organism in Eukaryota, Metazoa, Mollusca, Bivalvia, Mytilida, Mytilidae. The transcript has 2 exons.
CACGUAUCUCGAAUUGAACAUUGCAAGGUCAUCCCAGAACUGGAGAACAUUUAAGGACAAACGUCAUCUAGGACACAAUUCGUGGCUAACCACAGAGAUGCAUAAUAUGCCUUGGAGCAGAAGGCAUUGCUAUUUGCAAAUGAGCCGUAAGGUGGAAAGCCGACUCGAUCUGGAAACAACCUUUUGCAGAUCCACUAUGACUACUGCUGGUUCACUGUUGAACACGCAACUAGAAACAUUUGAUUGGAGAACACCGUUUUGUUAUAAAAUAUAAAAAAAUCUAAACAAUAUUCAUUUACUUACAUUUAAAUUACACAAACCUAUGCUUUAUAAUGAAUACACGGAAAACAAAAACAAUACGUUACGGUAAAUAAACUGCAAUUCCGGUUAUUCGUGAAAACAUUUCACCUAUCAUCUACAUUUCUGCCUCAUAAUGGAUUCAUUGGAUUUAAAGACAUAUACUGCAAUUUCUAGUCGGUGUAAGUGUUUUAAAAUUGAUCUUUGAAAAAUAACGUUCUCUAUAAUUUACAUAGUUGGAUAAGCAAAACUUUUUUUUUUCGGAUUCAAAUUUCCAUUUUUCACAAGUGUCUUUUACAGAAAUGUAAGGGCGAUGCUUGGACUUUGUGUGUCAUGUAUGUGUGUGUUGAUUAUAGUUUAACAGUUUGAAUUGUCAAAAGAUAACGUGAGGUGGUACAAUAGUAUGUCAGUGUUUCAUAUAAGUUAGUUAAUGUGUUAACUAUGUAUUCGCUUCUUAUGUCAAUGUUGUUUAUAGUCAUAGUAUAUAUUUGCAGCACGGAUAUAUUAACUUAUCAUGCUUAUGGUGGCAUAAAACUUUGCUUUCUUUACAAAUUUCUCCGUAAUCUGCCUAUUUAUAGAUUGAAUACGAUAUUGGUUAAAACAUGUAAAAUGCUGACGGGUAUUACACAUAUAUUCUAAUGAAUAUCAAAUUCUGUAAGUCUUAUAUAAAUGUAUUCUAUAGAAAAGAAUGUUAUCAGUUCUGAUUGGUUUCAAAACGUAGCAUUUAUCUUAUAAACUUGGUUAUCAGAUAAAAUCGAUAAAAAUGCCAAUAACGAAGAGUACUUAGAUUGUAUAAAAUAAUCAUUAUAAACGAAAGUGUAUUAGUGUACAGUUACUAACAUUUAUCAUUCUUAUGGUCGGCGAACUAAUAUUUCUUUUUUCCUGCACCAAUUAACGGUGCGAGUCUGUCUUUUUUUAUCCAAAUAAUUGCAACAUCACCAAAAAGCUGCAGUUUUCACAACUCAGACUAGCUCAAAUAAAAUGAAAUAAUUUGAAGGCAUCAACCAGAACUGACCAUAUUUGCACUUUAUUAUGUAUAUUUAUAUAGCGGCAACAUGAGUCAGUAAUCACUUUAUGUCAGGAUCGAUUGUGUUAUACAAAUGACAGCAAUAUUUGAACACAAUGAUUACAAAAUGUUGUUCGCAUCAAUUUAAAGUGCCAGCAUGUCUUCAUUAUAUACAACAUAUUCAAAAUAUAAACGCUCCACACAAAAUCGUUAGUUUUGAUAUAUCAGGCUGACUUGUGUAACAAAUAUUAUGACUGCAUCAACCAAAACUGACCAUAUUUGCAAUUUGUUAUGUAAAUUUUUAAAGCCGCAUAAUAAAUCAGUGUGUUUUUUUUUUA